UUGGGUGUCUGGUAUCUGUUUGGUAUACACUUUUAAUAUUCAUCUCUAACUGCUACCAACCCCCGGGUCCACCCACUAGGACGUACUUGUGAUAUAACAGAUUACAGGUAUAUCGAUGAAGAUGAUCAGUGCAUGAGUCUGGCAACCUUCUCGUCCCGGCUGCUGUGGCCCCUCCUUUGGAAAGGCAUAACCUCUCCUAAUCCCCCUCCCCCGGUUUCCGUGGAGACGGCUCAGACGAGCAGGUGACGCAUUGACAGGGAGCAGAUGGUUGCCCGUGGAGGCACCUUGUUAUCUGUCCUUUGUCAGUAAGGCCAUCCUGUGGGACCGGGCAUUCAACCAGUGGACAGACCAUACUGCCCCUGAUGGACGUCCCUCCCUGUGUCCUCGUUUCCUGGCCCACAUGAAGGCCUGUCCUGCAGACCUUAGACCCCGAUGUUUCCUAUCCAGCAAGCCCAGGCCACGACCUCCUCAGCAGGGACAGACUGAAGUAAGACAAUCCUUGAGUGCACCGAAGAUGCAUGCAUAUACAGUGUCCAGGAGCAGACCGCAGUACCCCAACACCACCAGGAGGAGGUGCUCCGCUGUUGUUGUUCCCUGUGUUCCAACACCAGUUUCACCCUGUCCCAGCAGAGCCUCCCCUGAGCUCCGUGUCACUGAAUCUAGGCCACCAAGUAUCAAUCCCCA
Long non-coding RNA from Esox lucius (northern pike), 684 nucleotides. Lineage: Eukaryota; Metazoa; Chordata; Actinopteri; Esociformes; Esocidae. The record is from Ensembl.